Molecule: non-coding RNA, 89 nt
Organism: Xylaria nigripes
Lineage: Eukaryota; Fungi; Ascomycota; Sordariomycetes; Xylariales; Xylariaceae
Source: the annotation of a GenBank genome assembly
GCACCAGUGGAGUAGUAGUUAACUCGUUUCCCUCCCACUUUUCUCGCGGCAGGAAGGAAAGGACCUGGGUGCAAAUCCCGGCUGGUGCA